UGGGGAAUAUUGCGCAAUGGAGGCAACUCUGAUGCAGCAACGCCGCGUGCGGGAAGACAGCCCUAGGGUUGUAAACCGCUUUCAGCAGGGAAGAAACUGACGGUACCUGCAGAAGAAGAUGCGGCCAACUACGUGCCAGCAGCCGCGGUGACACGUAGGCAUCAAGCGUUAUCCGGAUUUAUUGGGCGUAAAGAGCUCGUAGGCGGUUCGGUAAGUCGGGUGUGAAAACUCUGGGCUCAACCCAGAGAGGCCACUCGAUACUGCUGUGACUUGAGUACGGUAGGGGAGCGGGGAAAUUCCUGGUGUAGCGGUGAAAUGCGCAGAUAUCAGGAGGAACACCAGUGGCGAAGGCGGCUCACUGGCUCGAUACUGACGCUGAGGUGCGAAAAGCGUGGGGAGCAAAACAGGAUUAGAUACCCUGGUAGUCCACGCCGUAAACGAUGAAUGUUAGCCGUCGGCAGUAUACUGUUCGGUGGCGCAGCUAACGCAUUAAA
This 494-nucleotide ribosomal RNA is filed under the name uncultured bacterium. RNAcentral describes it as "bacterial SSU rRNA". It matches the Rfam family "Bacterial small subunit ribosomal RNA", at positions 355 to 864 of the family's 1533-position model. The record is from RNAcentral.